GGAGCUGUAGGUCAGUGGUAGAACAUCUGCUUGGCAUGCAAAAAGGUCUCAGGUUCAAGCUCUGGUAUCUCCA
RNAcentral lists this transfer RNA (73 nucleotides) under Sphaerodactylus townsendi. RNAcentral describes it as "tRNA-Ala". It matches the Rfam family "tRNA". From Rfam's summary of the family: Transfer RNA (tRNA) molecules are approximately 80 nucleotides in length. The record is from RNAcentral. Lineage: Eukaryota; Metazoa; Chordata; Lepidosauria; Squamata; Sphaerodactylidae.